Long non-coding RNA from Lycium ferocissimum, 2268 nucleotides. RefSeq lists it as uncharacterized. Lineage: Eukaryota; Viridiplantae; Streptophyta; Magnoliopsida; Solanales; Solanaceae. The transcript is spliced from 4 exons. The record is from RefSeq and is a predicted model, not a curated record.
CCCAACAGGCGCUUCUCUGUCCACUUAAAUACCCAGCCGUUACUUUUACCUCUUCCUUUUACCCUGAAAUAGUCACGUCUGCUCCGCUUAUCAGGACUUCGUGUCCGUCUGUGGUAAUUUUCCUCAUAGGGGAGAAUAAACAAUGUCCGGCGACUGAAGAACACUGUGUCUUGUCUCAGCAGAGUAAAGAACAAAGGUAGAACAGGAAGAAGCUGUAGAAAAGGAGCAAUGGAUGUAUCCCAAAACAUACAUACAUCAACAAACCUAGAAAAGAGCAGCCGAAGCAACAUCAGCAACAACAUGCAUCUUCUCCACCGCAGAUCACACCGUCUGCGUCUUCGCCUUCGCCUUCGUCUUCAUCGUCAUCACCUACAGGCAGUGCGGCUCCUUAUUUUCCUAUUAAGGUAUAUCUCCAAUGCCUUUCUCUAUACCUCUUCGUCCUCCCACUCAGCAAAGGUAAAUGUUUAUCUGUUUCUCAUGUUUGAUUCUGAAACCUGAAUUCUUGAAUUGUUCUAAUUUUGUGAUUUGUGAUAUGUGCUUUAUCUAUUUCUCAUGUCUGAUUAACAAGGAGUAUAUGUUUGUUUGAUCUUUUAUUCGGAAUACUUGGAUGAAAAACAAUACUAAUUCGGUGUUUGUCAGUUAAUCUUUCCCUUUCUUCAUUUUCGCUUUCAAAAUUCCAACCUUUUCUCUAGCUGGAGAGAGAAAACAAAAUUCAUGCAAUCAAUUGUCAAAUUUGUGUUUUUUUACACCAGCUUCUUUAUAUGAAAAUUCAUCCUAAUGCUUAACGAUGCAAUUCUGUUUCAGAGCAUUACAGAUUUUUCCUUCAAUAUGCAUAUUGACUAUGUCAGGUUGUUGUGGUCAUAUGCACAUACUCUUCCACUUGAGAAUUCAACUGUUGAAGAAUGAUAUGUAGGAAACAACAAUUUUCAACUUCACUCUCCUUCUCAUUCAAUUAUUAUUACUUUUACUAAAACUUAGAUCUAUACAUUUAUUAAAACUAGGCAUAGAGUAGGUGAUGUGACACUCUCUAAAGCCAAGAAAUGAAACCUACUUAUCUCUUUUCUCCCUUUUUUGGUCAUUUUUCUUUUUCUCCUGAUUUCCCAUUCAUUUGAAAGUAAUUACCUACGUAUUCAAUCAAUUAAUUUGAUAACGGGCACCUAAUUAUAUGGAAGUUAAAAGAGUAUAUCAUCUUAAAUGACUUUUGUAACGACACUACAUUAAUUCUCCAGACUCAAAUACAUGUACUUAUUAAUCUUGCAUUGCUGAAGUUGGAGGAUAUAACACUACAUUUAUAUGGAGGAUUAUUUGCUUAGAAGAUGGGAGGUCAGGCUCUAAUUUCUGAUGCCAUCUGUUCAUGUUCCUUUUCAUGUCUAGAAAGGCUUGCCAUUCAUAAAAAGCUUAUUCUAAAGCAGCCAAUGUAGUUGAUCAAGCAUUUGGCUCCAUCAGAACAGUUGCAUCAUUCACAAGUGAGAAGCAGGCUUUCGAGGAGUAUAGUAAGUCCUCACAAAAGGGAUACAGAUCUGGUGUACAGGGAAGGACUUGCAAGUGGCUUAGGCUUGGGAUCAGCCGAUUAAUUUAUUCUUUUCUGCAAUUAUUCUUUGGCUUUCUGAUAUGGGGUAAAUAUGAUGCUUUGACUUCUUUAUUUCUAAAUGUACUAAGGUAAUUGAUAAUUUGCAAUAAGAUCAUAAAAGAUCGUAUAUUGUGUCAUCAUAUAAGUCUCUUAAUUCGACUAAAGUUCUACUUUGACAUGAUAGGUAACGACAAAGUAUCAUUCUCUCUUUGUUUUGGCAGUACGGAAACAAUUGUCAAAUUAAUCGAAAGUUUUUCAUUAAUUCAUGUCAGGAGACCAUUAAAGAUCGGGUUGCUAAUUAUGUAUCUUUGGCCUAAACUCGUGAAGUGCAGAUUUUUGAUCCAUCGAAAGCAAUGAAAAGACAUGUGGGGUUCCUGCAUUCUGAGGGCAAUGGAGCUGAGAAAGAAAGAUCUAUUUGGUGAAUCUGGUCCUUACGUUAAAGUUAAGCUCACUGAGUCUAAACUUCCUUUAAAGAAAAUCACUGUGAAGCAGAAUUUAAAUCCAAAGUUGGAUGAGGAAUUUAACAUGGUUUUUAAAGAUCUAGAAUCACAAGUAUUGGAGCUACCUGUUUAUGAAGCACUCCGAAGGAUUUGCUAUUUGCUAUUGACUUGAAUAUAGUUGUUUAUUUUACAUUUUAUUCCACAUUCAGUAGAUCAUGCGUGUUAUACAUUUUGAUAGCUCUGCUUCUGUGGAACCUA